CAUAAAUGUGCCAAGGCGCGUGAGUGAAACCUCGUUAAGGAACUCGGCAAUCUAGCCCCGUAACUUCGGAAGAAGGGGUGCCCUCCUUUAUUGGAAGGGCCGCAGUGAAAUGGGUCGACCGACUGUUUAUCAAAAACACAGCACUCUGCUAACUCGCAAGAGAACGUAUAGGGUGUGACACGUGACCAAUGCGGAAAGAUUACGGUAAGUGGUUAGCGCAAGCGAAGCUACGAGCCCAAGUCCCCGUGAAUGUCGGCCGUAACUAUAACGGUCCUAAGGUAGCGAAAUUCCUUGUCGGGUAAGUUCCGACCUGCACGAAUCGUGUAACGAGUUGACCGCUGUCUCAACGAGGAGCUCAGCGAAGUUGUAAUGGCGGUGAAGAUGCCGCCUACCCGCAGCAGGACGGAAAGACCCUAUGCACCUUUACUGUACACUGUUACUGUGUUUUCGGUUUUCAUGCUUGGCGUAAGUGGGAGACUUUGAUACAUGCCCUUCGGGGUAUGUUGAGUCGCCAAUGAAACACCACCCUUGGGGACUGGAAACUCUAACCCUCAUCCAUCAACUGGAGAGGGGACACUGGCAGCCGGUCAGUUUUACUGGGGCGGUAUCCUCCCAAAGAGUAACGGAGGAGUACGAAGGUUGGCUCAACCCGGUUGGCAAUCGGGUGACGAGUAUAUGGAUAUAAGCCAGCCUAACUGUGAGACCUACAAGUCGAGCAGAUGCGAAAGCAGGUCCAAGUGAUCCGGUGGUUUGAAAGUGGAAUCGCCAUCGCUCAACGGACAAAAGGUACGCUAGGGAUAACAGGCUGAUCGAGUCCAAGAGCUCAUAUCGACGACUCGGUUUGGCACCUCGAUGUCGGCUCAUCACAUCCUGGGGCUGGAGAAGGUCCCAAGGGUCCGGCUGUUCGCCGGUUAAAGUGGUACGCGAGCUGGGUUCAGAACGUCGCGAGACAGUUCGGUCCUUAUCCGCUGUGGGCGCAGGAAAGUUGAGGGGUUUAAACCUUAGUACGAGAGGACCGGGUUUAACGAACCUCUGGUGUUCCAGUUGUCGUGUCAACGGCAGUGCUGGGCAGCUACGUUCGGAAGGGAUAAGCGCUGAAAGCAUCUAAGCGCCAAGCCCCUCCCAAGAUUGACUUUCCCCGAAGAGUCGUGGUAGACCACCACGUUGAUAGGUCGUAGGUCGAAGCGCAGUAAUGCGUGCAGCUUAGCGAUACUAAUAAUUCGUCCGGCUUGAUCUG
Molecule: ribosomal RNA, 1237 nt
Filed under: metagenome
Description: bacterial LSU rRNA
Rfam family: Bacterial large subunit ribosomal RNA
Source: RNAcentral